Long non-coding RNA from Uranotaenia lowii, 496 nucleotides. RefSeq lists it as uncharacterized. The record is from RefSeq and is a predicted model, not a curated record. Lineage: Eukaryota; Metazoa; Arthropoda; Insecta; Diptera; Culicidae. The transcript has 3 exons.
AACACGGAAACACAUCAACUGUUGUCGGGUGCUAGUGCCGGUGUAUACUGUUUAGCUCCACAUCGGAUUUGCUUGGUACAUCUGCUGGCUGGGAACGAGCAGCGAUCGCAGAACUGGACAAAAGAUAGGAGAGGCCGUAAGCGGAAUCGGAACAAAUGUUAGCAGCUCCGAUGAGAUUCCAACAAUUUUGGAAAAUAUCUCUGCCAAGGAGAUUAAGAGCUAUCCGGAUGUGGGGCGCAAGUUGUUUCCGUAAUACCAAGGUUCUGAGCGUCGAAACCAAGCGCCGCGAUUAUCGGCACAGGUGGAAGAGCUAGUGGUUGCCCGGGUCUUUUACCAUGCAGAAUUGAUCCGGAACAAUUUUUUCAAAUUAUUUUUUUUCCGAUUCGGCACCGUUGGAGAUCAGAACGUCAGGAUUCCCAAGCACUCCUCUGCAGACAACGCAAUGUCCUUAAAAAAUGUGAAACGGAAUGUAAACAGAACAGUUCCGGUUUUUAUA